This 57-nucleotide transfer RNA is filed under the name Odocoileus virginianus texanus. It matches the Rfam family "tRNA", at positions 8 to 63 of the family's 71-position model. Rfam says of the family: Transfer RNA (tRNA) molecules are approximately 80 nucleotides in length. Their secondary structure includes four short double-helical elements and three loops (D, anti-codon, and T loops). Lineage: Eukaryota; Metazoa; Chordata; Mammalia; Artiodactyla; Cervidae. RNAcentral also lists the same sequence under 8 other names. The record is from Rfam by way of RNAcentral.
UGGCUCAGACAGUAAAGCAUCUGCCUACAAUGCAGGAGACCCAGGUUCGAUCCCUGG